This 497-nucleotide ribosomal RNA is filed under the name uncultured bacterium. Its description in RNAcentral is "partial 16S ribosomal RNA". It matches the Rfam family "Bacterial small subunit ribosomal RNA", at positions 28 to 507 of the family's 1533-position model. The record is from RNAcentral.
GAUGAACGCUGGCGGCGUGCCUAAUACAUGCAAGUCGAGCGAACAGACGAGGAGCUUGCUCCUCUGACGUUAGCGGCGGACGGGUGAGUAACACGUGGAUAACCUACCUAUAAGACUGGGAUAACUUCGGGAAACCGGAGCUAAUACCGGAUAAUAUAUUGAACCGCAUGGUUCAAUAGUGAAAGACGGUUUUGCUGUCACUUAUAGAUGGAUCCGCGCCGCAUUAGCUAGUUGGUAAGGUAACGGCUUACCAAGGCAACGAUGCGUAGCCGACCUGAGAGGGUGAUCGGCCACACUGGAACUGAGACACGGUCCAGACUCCUACGGGAGGCAGCAGUAGGGAAUCUUCCGCAAUGGGCGAAAGCCUGGCGGAGCAACGCCGCGUGAGUGAUGAAGGUCUUCGGAUCGUAAAACUCCGUUAUUAGGGAAGAACAAAUGUGUAAGUAACUAUGCACGUCUUGACGGUACCUAAUCAGAAAGCCACGGCUAACUACGUG